GCCACGGUAGAGCCAGCCAAUGGUUGUACAGGUAAAAGGGAAACUGGGAAGUCUGCAAAGAAACCUGAUAAAGGAAGGACUGCAAAGGAGGAGGCACGUGAGUUACAACUUAGGGAG
Molecule: non-coding RNA, 117 nt
Organism: Prunus avium (sweet cherry)
Lineage: Eukaryota; Viridiplantae; Streptophyta; Magnoliopsida; Rosales; Rosaceae
Source: RefSeq, a predicted model, not a curated record